AAUUUAUAAUUUUGACUAUAAAUGAAUAAAAGGGUUAUUCUACUAUCACAUUGUGUACAUUAUGUCUGUGAUACAUCCUUUGAGUUAGUAAGAAUGUUAAUUCAUAUUUUCAAGAGUUGAAAAUUUAAGGCAUGAAUUUACAUAACUAACUCAUAAACAGCUCCUGACCAUAGGAUCAUCACGAGGAUGGUGAUCGAUCCGAAAGGUUGGUGUACGAU
Molecule: long non-coding RNA, 218 nt
Filed under: Elaeis guineensis (African oil palm)
Lineage: Eukaryota; Viridiplantae; Streptophyta; Magnoliopsida; Arecales; Arecaceae
Description: long non-coding RNA (EGUI_LNC066740)
Source: RNAcentral